RNAcentral lists this ribosomal RNA (510 nucleotides) under Penicillium corylophilum. Its description in RNAcentral is "eukaryotic LSU rRNA". The stretch from base 158 to 311 matches the Rfam family "5.8S ribosomal RNA". The record is from RNAcentral. Lineage: Eukaryota; Fungi; Ascomycota; Eurotiomycetes; Eurotiales; Aspergillaceae.
CUGGGUCACCUCCCACCCAUGUUUAUUGUACCUUGUUGCUUCGGCGGGCCCGCCUCACGGCCGCCGGGGGGCUUCUGCCCUCUGGCCCGCGCCCGCCGAAGACACCAUUGAACACUGUCUGAAGAUUGCAGUCUGAGCAAUUAGCUAAAUAAGUUAAAACUUUCAACAACGGAUCUCUUGGUUCCGGCAUCGAUGAAGAACGCAGCGAAAUGCGAUACGUAAUGUGAAUUGCAGAAUUCAGUGAAUCAUCGAGUCUUUGAACGCACAUUGCGCCCCUUGGUAUUCCGGGGGGCAUGCCUGUCCGAGCGUCAUUGCUGCCCUCAAGCACGGCUUGUGUGUUGGGCCCCGUCCUCCUUCCCGGGGGACGGGCCCGAAAGGCAGCGGCGGCACCGCGUCCGGUCCUCGAGCGUAUGGGGCUUUGUCACCCGCUCUUGUAGGCCCGGCCGGCGCUUGCCGACAACCAUCAAUCUUUUUUCAGGUUGACCUCGGAUCAGGUAGGGAUACCCGCUG